UUCCUACGGGAGGCAGCAGUGGGGAAUAUUGCACAAUGGGCGAAAGCCUGAUGCAGCAACGCCGCGUGAGUGAAGAAGGGUUUCGGCUCGUAAAGCUCUGUUGGUAGUGAAGAAAGAUAGAGGGAGUAACUGGCCUUUAUUUUACGGUAAUUACUUAGAAAGUCACGGCUAACUACGUGCCAGCAGCCGCGGUAAUACGUAGGUGGCAAGCGUUGUCCGGAUUUAUUGGGCGUAAAGCGAGUGCAGGCGGGUUACUCAAGUU
This 262-nucleotide ribosomal RNA is filed under the name uncultured bacterium. RNAcentral's name for it is "partial 16S ribosomal RNA". It matches the Rfam family "Bacterial small subunit ribosomal RNA", at positions 336 to 589 of the family's 1533-position model. The record is from RNAcentral.